UGGGGAAUUUUGGACAAUGGGCGAAAGCCUGAUCCAGCAAUGCCGCGUGUGUGAAGAAGGCCUUCGGGUUGUAAAGCACUUUUGUCCGGAAAGAAAUCCUUGGCUCUAAUACAGUCGGGGGAUGACGGUACCGGAAGAAUAAGCACCGGCUAACUACGUGCCAGCAGCCGCGGUAAUACGUAGGGUGCAAGCGUUAAUCGGAAUUACUGGGCGUAAAGCGUGCGCAGGCGGUUUGCUAAGACCGAUGUGAAAUCCCCGGGCUCAACCUGGGAACUGCAUUGGUGACUGGCAGGCUAGAGUAUGGCAGAGGGGGGUAGAAUUCCACGUGUAGCAGUGGAAUGCGUAGAGAUGUGGAGGAAUACCGAUGGCGAAGGCAGCCCCCUGGGCCAAUACUGACGCUCAUGCACGAAAGCGUGGGGAGCAAAACAGGAUUAGAUACCCCUGGUAGUCCACGCCCUAAAACGAUGUCAACUAGUUGUUGGGGAUUCAUUUCCUUAGUAACGUAGCUAACGCGUGAAGUUGACCGCCUGGGGAGUACGGUCGCAAGAUUAAAACUCAAAUGAAUUGACGGGGUCAUAGCUGUUUCCU
This 588-nucleotide ribosomal RNA is filed under the name uncultured bacterium. RNAcentral describes it as "partial 16S ribosomal RNA". It matches the Rfam family "Bacterial small subunit ribosomal RNA", at positions 355 to 1375 of the family's 1533-position model. The record is from RNAcentral.